AUUUAAAUAGCUCAAAAAGAGCGUGGUUCUGAAGAAGCUAAGGUAGAGUAAUUCUUUUAAAUA
This 63-nucleotide transfer RNA is filed under the name Sinella curviseta. Its description in RNAcentral is "tRNA-Phe". Lineage: Eukaryota; Metazoa; Arthropoda; Collembola; Entomobryomorpha; Entomobryidae. The record is from RNAcentral.